ACGACGCUGGCGGCGUGCCUAACACAUGCAAGUCGAGCGAGGUAUUUAUACCUAGCGGCGGACGGGUGAGUAACACGUGGGUAACCUGCCUCAUAGAGGGGAAUAGCCUUCCGAAAGGGAGAUUAAUACCGCAUAAUAUAUACCGGUAGCAUUAAUGGUAUAUCAAAGGAGAAAAUCCGCUAUGAGAUGGGCCCGCGGCGCAUUAGCUAGUUGGAGAGGUAACGGCUCACCAAGGCGACGAUGCGUAGCCGACCUGAGAGGGUGAUCGGCCACAUUGGAACUGAGACACGGUCCAGACUCCUACGGGAGGCAGCAGUGGGGAAUAUUGCACAAUGGGGGAAACCCUGAUGCAGCAACGCCGCGUGAAUGAUGACGGCCUUCGGGUUGUAAAGUUCUUUGAUUGGGGACGAAAAUGACGGUACCCAAAAAAACAAGCCACGGCUAACUACGUGCCAGCAGCCGCGGUAAUACGUAGGUGGCGAGCGUUGUCCGGAUUUACUGGGCGUAAAGGAUGCGUAGGU
RNAcentral lists this ribosomal RNA (521 nucleotides) under uncultured bacterium. Its description in RNAcentral is "bacterial SSU rRNA". It matches the Rfam family "Bacterial small subunit ribosomal RNA", at positions 29 to 576 of the family's 1533-position model. The record is from RNAcentral.